GAUGAACGCUGACAGCAUGCUUAACACAUGCAAGUCAACUUGAAAUUCGGUUUGGGUGGCGGACGGGUGAGUAACGCGUAAAGAACUUGCCCCAUAGCUAGGGACCACAAAUGGAAACGAAUGCUAAUAACUGCUAUUAUGAUUUUAGGGCAGCCUAGAAUUAUGAAAGCUAUAUGCGCGGUGAGAGAGCCUUGCGUCCCAUUAGCUAGUUGGAGAGGUAACGGCUCACCAAGGCGAGGAUGGGUAGCCGGCCUGAGAGGGUGAACGGCCACAAGGGGACAGAGACACGGCCCUUACACCUACGGGAGGCAGCAGUGGGGAAAAUUGGACAAUGGACCAAGAGUCUGAUCCAGCAAUUCUGUGUGCACGAUGAAGUUUUUCGGAAUGUAAAAUGCUUUCAGUUGGGAAGAAAAAAAUGACGGUACCAACAGAAGAAGUGACGGCUAAAUACGUG
This 454-nucleotide ribosomal RNA is filed under the name uncultured bacterium. RNAcentral's name for it is "partial 16S ribosomal RNA". It matches the Rfam family "Bacterial small subunit ribosomal RNA", at positions 28 to 507 of the family's 1533-position model. The record is from RNAcentral.